RNAcentral lists this ribosomal RNA (253 nucleotides) under uncultured bacterium. RNAcentral's name for it is "partial 16S ribosomal RNA". It matches the Rfam family "Bacterial small subunit ribosomal RNA", at positions 524 to 776 of the family's 1533-position model. The record is from RNAcentral.
UACGUAGGGGGCAAGCGUUGUCCGAAUUUAUUGGGCGUAAAGAGCGUGUAGGCGGCCAUACAGGUCAGCUGUGAAAACUCGAGGCUCAACCUCGAGACGUCGGUUGAAACCGUAUGGCUAGAGUCCGGAAGAGGAGAGUGGAAUUCCCGGUGUAGCGGUGAAAUGCGCAGAUAUCGGGAAGAACACCCGUGGCGAAGGCGGCUCACUGGCCCGGUACUGACGCUGAGGCACGAAAGCGUGGGGAGCAAACAGG